Molecule: ribosomal RNA, 650 nt
Filed under: uncultured fungus
Lineage: Eukaryota; Fungi
Description: eukaryotic LSU rRNA
Rfam family: Eukaryotic large subunit ribosomal RNA
Source: RNAcentral
CCCGCUGAACUUAAGCAUAUCAGUAAGCGGAGGAAAAGAAACUAACAAGGAUUCCCCUAGUAACGGCGAGUGAAGCGGGAAAAGCUCAAAUUUGAAAACCAACAGUAGUAAUGUUGGAGUUGUAUUUGAGAGGAAAUGUGCAAGUGGCGAGCAAUCACAGCCAGGUCUUUUGGAAAGAAGCACCACAGAGGGUGAGAGUCCCGUGGGCGGUGAAUGUUAGUCAUGAUUAGUGCACAAUUCUGACGAGUCGGAUUGUUUGGGAAUGCAGUCCUAAAUGGGUGAUACGUGUCAUCUAAAGCUAAAUAGAGGCAAGAGACCGAUAGCAAACAAGUACCGUGAGGGAAAGAUGAAAAGCACUUUGAAAAGAGAGUCAAAAGUACGUGAAAUUGUGGAGAGGGAAACGCUGAUCAACAUGCGAGAGAGGGAUGUGGCCAUUGGAGAGUGUGAAAACAUUUUCCAUUCCGUGGUACAUUACUCUGAUGAGGCUUGGUUGGGUAGCAUGAAAAGCGCACGUGGAAGGUGGCUUUGGUCUUUUAGAUCAACGGCUUUAUAGACACGGGUGGUGAAUGCAGCUUGGCCAAGAGCAACAAUAGUUGUAUAACUUUAGUAUAUCAUCAUGCAUUUGAUCAUCGACCCGUCUUGAAACACGG